CAAGUCGAGCGAGCUUGCCUAGAUGAUUUUAGUGCUUGCACUAAAUGAAACUAGAUACAAGCGAGCGGCGGACGGGUGAGUAACACGUGGGUAACCUGCCCAAGAGACUGGGAUAACACCUGGAAACAGAUGCUAAUACCGGAUAACAACACUAGACGCAUGUCUAGAGUUUGAAAGAUGGUUCUGCUAUCACUCUUGGAUGGACCUGCGGUGCAUUAGCUAGUUGGUAAGGUAACGGCUUACCAAGGCAAUGAUGCAUAGCCGAGUUGAGAGACUGAUCGGCCACAUUGGGACUGAGACACGGCCCAAACUCCUACGGGAGGCAGCAGUAGGGAAUCUUCCACAAUGGACGAAAGUCUGAUGGAGCAACGCCGCGUGAGUGAAGAAGGGUUUCGGCUCGUAAAGCUCUGUUGGUAGUGAAGAAAGAUAGAGGUAGUAACUGGCCUUUAUUUGACGGUAAUUACUUAGAAAGUCACGGCUAACUACGUGCCAGCAGCCGCGGUAAUACGUAGGUGGCAAGCGUUGUCCGGAUUUAUUGGGCGUAAAGCGAGUGCAGGCGGUUCAAUAAGUCUGAUGUGAAAGCCUUCGGCUCAACCGGAGAAUUGCAUCAGAAACUGUUGAACUUGAGUGCAGAAGAGGAGAGUGGAACUCCAUGUGUAGCGGUGGAAUGCGUAGAUAUAUGGA
Molecule: ribosomal RNA, 684 nt
Filed under: uncultured bacterium
Lineage: Bacteria
Description: bacterial SSU rRNA
Rfam family: Bacterial small subunit ribosomal RNA
Source: RNAcentral